RNAcentral lists this ribosomal RNA (253 nucleotides) under uncultured bacterium. RNAcentral describes it as "partial 16S ribosomal RNA". It matches the Rfam family "Bacterial small subunit ribosomal RNA", at positions 524 to 776 of the family's 1533-position model. The record is from RNAcentral.
UACGUAGGGUGCGAGCGUUAAUCGGAAUUACUGGGCGUAAAGCGUGCGCAGGCGGUUCGCUGUGUCCGAUGUGAAAGCCCCGGGCUUAACCUGGGAAUGGCAUUGGAAACUGGCGGGCUUGAGUGCGGCAGAGGGGGGUGGAAUUCCGCGUGUAGCAGUGAAAUGCGUAGAGAUACGGAGGAACACCGAUGGCGAAGGCAGCCCCCUGGGUCGACACUGACGCUCAGGCACGAAAGCGUGGGGAGCAAACAGG